CCUACGGGAGACAGCAGUGGGGAAUAUUGGUCAAUGGCCGCAAGCCUGACCCAGCCACGUCGCGUGAAGGAAGAAGGCCUUCGGGUUUUUAACUCCCUUUAAGAGGGAAGAGCAGAACACGGUACCUCUUGAAUAAGCCACGGCUAACUACGUGCCAGCAGCCGCGGUCAUACGUAGGUAGCAAGUGUUGUCCGGAUUUACUGGGUGUAAAGGGCGUGCAGCCGGGAAGACAAGUCAGAUGUGAAAUCCCCCGGCUCAACCGCGGAACUGCAUUUGAAACUGUUGUUCUUGAGUACCGGAGAGGUCAUCGGAAUGCCUGGUGUAGCGGUGAAAUGCGUAGAUAUAAGGAAGAACACCAGUGGCGAAGGCAGAUGACUGGACGGCAACUGACGGUGAGGCGCGAAAGCGUGGGGAGCGAACAGGAUUAGAUACCCUAGUAGUC
This 442-nucleotide ribosomal RNA is filed under the name uncultured bacterium. RNAcentral's name for it is "partial 16S ribosomal RNA". It matches the Rfam family "Bacterial small subunit ribosomal RNA", at positions 338 to 795 of the family's 1533-position model. The record is from RNAcentral.